UAUUAGUUCACAUAGGCAAUUCAUCAAGCACAUAAUGAAUAUAUUAUAUGUAGACUACAUUGCACAACAAGUAAACAUCAUGAUUCAAUUCUAGUUUCACAAUUCAAGGGUUUAAUCAUGGGUUCACAUGAAUCUACACAAAUAAUAACUAAUUCCACAUAAAAUUUAUCACCAAACAUGGAUUAGAAUUCAAUUGGUCAUUAUCAAUAUGAACAAAAGCAAACUC
This 226-nucleotide long non-coding RNA is filed under the name Capsicum annuum. Its description in RNAcentral is "long non-coding RNA (CANN_LNC011420)". The record is from RNAcentral. Lineage: Eukaryota; Viridiplantae; Streptophyta; Magnoliopsida; Solanales; Solanaceae.